This 206-nucleotide long non-coding RNA is filed under the name Ricinus communis (castor bean). RNAcentral describes it as "long non-coding RNA (RCOM_LNC003692)". Lineage: Eukaryota; Viridiplantae; Streptophyta; Magnoliopsida; Malpighiales; Euphorbiaceae. The record is from RNAcentral.
GUGGGUAUGCAACACAGGAACCCGACAUUUGCCCACUUACAAAACAUUCACUUGGGCUAGGACUGAAAGGAUCGCGGGGAAGCAAUUCGAUGCGCGAGGCACGGAGCCUGCCUACCCAAACGAUCGUGAUACGACUCAUGCACCACCACGUACAAUGAGCAACAAUUCCAAUCAGCGAACUACAACCCCCAACAAGCAUGUUAUGC